This 361-nucleotide long non-coding RNA is filed under the name Fragaria vesca (wild strawberry). RNAcentral describes it as "long non-coding RNA (FVES_LNC005603)". Lineage: Eukaryota; Viridiplantae; Streptophyta; Magnoliopsida; Rosales; Rosaceae. The record is from RNAcentral.
ACAAGCAACCUAAACAGUGAGCAUAAGCCCUAUCCAACAGUAAAUUUACGUCAUUUUACUUCCAUUCAUCGUUUUAGGGAGUAGUUUCUGCUAAUUAACUCCUGAGCCUGCGUGCAGUUUUGAAGUUAGCUAGCUAGGAUCGAACUCUUGUGUCUUAGCUUUGCCUGCAAGCCUUGCAUUCCCUUGCAGGGAGAAGCAGAUUAGCCAUAGUCGAAAUACCGAUGAAGGCAUUCCGAGUAGGGAAAAUCAGCCAUACUUGAAGUCUAUGACUGAUUGAAAGACAUACGUGCUGAUGGAUGGCUGUAAAAGUAAUGAUCAGAGUUUCUUGUGUGGUUUUAAGUGUUUCAUCAACAAAUGAAGA